GUUAGAAUUCGGUAGUUGUUUGCUAAAAGUAUGGCAGUUGCAGAAUGCAUCCUUCAACGCACCUGCUAGAAAGCAUUUCCUGGAAGGAUUUGGUGGGUCUUCUUGAUAAAAGACGCCCAUAUUGGAGAAGCAAGAUUUUCUGGUGUAAAGACAAAGUUAGAAGAGAGCACAAGACACUCCAACUAAUGAUGUUGAACUGCACUAGAGAUUCCAGCACAAAGCUCACGCUGUAUUCACAUUCCAUUACUUUGAAAAUUAAUUGGCAUGCGAUAAGCUAAUCUAACACCUACUUUUCUAGAGUUGCACUUCCACCAUUAAAGCUCAUGGGAGGAGAAGAGAGCGAAAGACAAACAGAAAAUACCUGAGACCAACGAAGGGGAGAAGAUCGGCGAAGAAAGGAUGCGGCACUGAGCACGACGGAGAUGGCGGCGGCGGGAUGGUGCGACGCAACGGGAACAGGCGUGAAAAUCGAGAGGCAUAAAGACGGAGGGAUUGUAAUCUUUUUUCUUUUAUUUAUUUUUGUUUAAAUCAAGUGCGUUUGGGCCGUUGGAUUGGCAAGGUGGGCUGCUGAAAGGUGGGCUUGGUUAUAUUACAGAAGUUUAGGCCCGUUUGAUACAAUUCCCAUUUUUUUUUUAAUUUAUGUUUUGUUUCUGAUAAAUACAUUUGAAUUCAAAAGCUAAAUUUCAAAAGUUAAAUUAUAUUCUCA
Benincasa hispida (wax gourd) is the source of this 706-nucleotide non-coding RNA. The record is from RefSeq and is a predicted model, not a curated record. NCBI's taxonomy places the organism in Eukaryota, Viridiplantae, Streptophyta, Magnoliopsida, Cucurbitales, Cucurbitaceae.